UACGUAGGGGGCUAGCGUUGUCCGGAAUCAUUGGGCGUAAAGCGCGCGUAGGCGGCCCGGUAAGUCCGCUGUAAAAGUCAGGGGCUCAACCCUUGAACGCCGGUGGAUACUGCCGGGCUAGAGUCCGGAAGAGGCGAGUGGAAUUCCUGGUGUAGCGGUGGAAUGCGCAGAUAUCAGGAGGAACACCAAUAGCGAAGGCAGCUCGCUGGGACGGUACUGACGCUGAGGCGCGAAAGCGUGGGGAGCAAACAGGAUUAGAUACCCUGGUAGUCCACGCCGUAAACGAUGGGCACUAGGUGUGGGAGGUGUCGACUCCUUCCGUGCCGUCGCUAACGCACUAAGUGCCCCGCCUGGGGAGUACGGCCGCAAGGCUAAA
This 376-nucleotide ribosomal RNA is filed under the name uncultured bacterium. RNAcentral describes it as "bacterial SSU rRNA". It matches the Rfam family "Bacterial small subunit ribosomal RNA", at positions 524 to 898 of the family's 1533-position model. The record is from RNAcentral.